Long non-coding RNA from Tripterygium wilfordii, 406 nucleotides. RefSeq lists it as uncharacterized. The transcript is spliced from 4 exons. Lineage: Eukaryota; Viridiplantae; Streptophyta; Magnoliopsida; Celastrales; Celastraceae. The record is from RefSeq and is a predicted model, not a curated record.
UUUUUCUUUUUUCUUUUCUUCUUCCUUCUUCUUUCUUUUUUGGUUGCUCUCACUCCUUUCCACCCUCCACAAACCAGCAGUUGCCACCUCCCACUAGCCACUUUUCUGGCCAGUUCUGGUCGCCGGCCAGCCACCAUUUCCGGCCAACAUUCAUUCAAGCCUUUAGUUCACCCUUUUGGCUCAAAAUCAAGGUGAAAUUGAAGGAGUCUACACUUGGAUUCUAUUGUUGAUUGGAGUAGCAAACUUGAGUAGGCGAAGUUCAAGAACUUGGAAAGUUUUGGGUAAGAGAAGGGUUAUGAGACAAAAGUGAUGAAGGAAUGUUAAUAUUAAUUUGUGGGCCCGGUUGGAGUCAAUGAAAGGCGUUGCACGUGAUGGUAAAAGAUGGCCUUGCUCUUGUGAUAGGAUU